ACGUAGGGUGCGAGCGUUAAUCGGAAUUACUGGGCGUAAAGCGUGCGCAGGCGGUUUUGUAAGUCAGAUGUGAAAUCCCCGAGCUCAACUUGGGAACUGCGUUUGAAACUACAAGACUAGAAUAUGUCAGAGGGGGGUAGAAUUCCACGUGUAGCAGUGAAAUGCGUAGAGAUGUGGAGGAAUACCAAUGGCGAAGGCAGCCCCCUGGGAUAAUAUUGACGCUCAUGCACGAAAGCGUGGGGAGCAAACAG
RNAcentral lists this ribosomal RNA (251 nucleotides) under uncultured prokaryote. RNAcentral describes it as "partial 16S rRNA". It matches the Rfam family "Bacterial small subunit ribosomal RNA", at positions 525 to 775 of the family's 1533-position model. The record is from RNAcentral.